CCUACGGGAGGCAGCAGUGGGGAAUAUUGGACAAUGGGCGAAAGCCUGAUCCAGCCAUGCCGCGUGUGUGAAGAAGGUCUUCGGAUUGUAAAGCACUUUAAGUUGGGAGGAAGGGCCGUUACCUAAUACGUGAUGGUUUUGACGUUACAGACAGAAUAAGCACCGGCUAACUCUGUGCCAGCAGCCGCGGUAAU
RNAcentral lists this ribosomal RNA (194 nucleotides) under uncultured bacterium. Its description in RNAcentral is "partial 16S ribosomal RNA". It matches the Rfam family "Bacterial small subunit ribosomal RNA", at positions 338 to 524 of the family's 1533-position model. The record is from RNAcentral.